This 1239-nucleotide ribosomal RNA is filed under the name Rhipicephalus pulchellus. RNAcentral's name for it is "SSU rRNA". It matches the Rfam family "Eukaryotic small subunit ribosomal RNA", at positions 41 to 1282 of the family's 1831-position model. The record is from RNAcentral. Lineage: Eukaryota; Metazoa; Arthropoda; Arachnida; Ixodida; Ixodidae.
AGAUUAAGCCAUGCAUGUCUAAGUACAUGCCGAAAUAAGGCGAAACCGCGAAUGGCUCAUUAAAUCAGUUAUGGUUCCUUAGAUCGUUUCUUCCUACUUGGAUAACUGUGGCAAUUCUAGAGCUAAUACAUGCAGUGAGCCUGGAGCCCUUUGGGUAACGGGUGCUUUUAUUAGACCAAGAUCGAUCGGGUUUCGGCCCGUAUUGUGUGGUGACUCUGGAUAACUUUGUGCUGAUCGCAUGGCCACGAGCCGGCGACGUUUCUUUCAAGUGUCUGCCUUAUCAACUUUCGAUGGUAGGUUACUUGCUUACCAUGGUUGUUACGGGUAACGGAGAAUCAGGGUUCGAUUCCGGAGAGGGAGCCUGAGAAACGGCUACCACAUCCAAGGAAGGCAGCAGGCGCGCAAAUUACCCACUCCCGGCACGGGGAGGUAGUGACGAAAAAUAACAAUACGGGACUCUUUUGAGGCCCCGUAAUUGAAAUGAGUACACUCUAAAUCCUUUAACGAGGAUCAAUUGGAGGGCAAGUCUGGUGCCAGCAGCCGCGGUAAUUCCAGCUCCAAUAGCGUAUACUAAAGCUGCUGCGGUUAAAAAGCUCGUAGUUGGAUCUCAGUUCCAGACGAGUAGUGCAUCUACCCGAUGCGACGGCUCGGACUGAACAUCAUGCCGGUUCUUUCUUGGUGCACUUCAUUGUGUGCCUCGAGAUGGCCGGUGCUUUUACUUUGAAAAAAUUAGAGUGCUCAACGCAGGCGAGUCGCCUGAAUAAACUUGCAUGGAAUAAUAGAACAAGACCUCGUUUCUGUUCUGUUGGUUUUUGGAAUACGAGGUAAUGAUUAAGAGGGACGGACGGGGGCAUUCGUAUUGCGGCGCUAGAGGUGAAAUUCUUGGACCGUCGCAAGACGAACUACUGCGAAAGCAUUUGCCAAGAAUGUUUUCAUUGAUCAAGAACGAAAGUCAGAGGUUCGAAGGCGAUCAGAUACCGCCCUAGUUCUGACCAUAAACGAUGCCAACCAGCGAUCCGCCUGAGUUACUCAAAUGACUCGGCGGGCAGCUUCCGGGAAACCAAAGUAUUUGGGUUCCGGGGAAGUAUGGUUGCAAAGCUGAAACUUAAAGGAAUUGACGGAAGGGCACCACCAGGAGUGGAGCCUGCGGCUUAAUUGACUCACCCGGGAAAACUUACCCGGCCCGGAAACUGGGAGGAUUAAAGAUUGAAACUCUUUCUGAUUCGGGGGAGGGGGGGG